RNAcentral lists this ribosomal RNA (253 nucleotides) under uncultured bacterium. RNAcentral's name for it is "partial 16S ribosomal RNA". It matches the Rfam family "Bacterial small subunit ribosomal RNA", at positions 524 to 776 of the family's 1533-position model. The record is from RNAcentral.
UACGGAGGGGGUUAGCGUUGUUCGGAUUCACUGGGCGUAAAGGGUGCGUAGGUGGCGUGGUAAGUUUGAUGUGAAGGCUCAGGGCUCAACCCUGAAAUGGCAUUGAAUACUACUAUGCUGGAGGUUUGGAGGGGGGACUGGAAUUCUUGGUGUAGCAGUGAAAUGCGUAGAUAUCAAGAGGAACACCAGUGGCGAAGGCGAGUCCCUGGACAACACCUGACACUGAGGCACGAAAGCCGGGGGAGCAAACAGG